CGAGGCGACGAUGUGGCGCCCAGCACAGGUGCAGAGGCAGCGCUGCCAGCAGCCUGGGUCCCCAGAGCAGCCGGGAAGGUGGCAAGACCUUGUUUAAAAAGUAGCUGCAUGGGCCAAAAAGAGAAGCAAACAACCAAGCAGUGUCAGAAGUUCCAAAUCCCCUGCCACGUUUUGCUGCUGCUUGCGCAGUUGAAGAGAAGGAAAAGCAAGGAGAAAAUUUGUGAAUAAGAAAUGUCACUUAGACCUGAAUGGAAGAGAUUUGGCAAAAAAUAUAGCAUGUGUCGUCAUCUUCAGGUGAUGCAGCACUUCCAGAAAAGACAAUCACAGAGGGCUGCUAGGCAAUUUGAAGAUGUCCGUGGGGAGAUGGUAUCAAAGACACUGCGAGCUCUAAAAUUAACAUCAAAAAUGAUGUAUCCAGAAGAAAGACUUUGUACCUACAACUGCUUUCACAGCUGCAAACCUUUUCUUUUAGAACAUUUUGUGUAUCUCAUGGCUAUGUUGUUUACAGCUUUUCUGCAAGUUUUUGUUUUUCCCCAUGGAAGCAACUGAAAAAAAAAAAACCCUUAAGUGUGCAUAUCUGUUCAAGUCUGGUUGGAUGUUACCCAGAAGCUGCUGGGUAAUGGGUUUUUGAGCCUAUGCAGUAAUUGUAACUCAUCACCAGUAUGUUAUGCAAGAUUGUGCAAAUAAUGGUUCCAUUUGAAGAAUUAUAGAAUUAUCCAAUCUUGUCAUCACUAAGUAAAAUUCUAAUUCAAAAUGCUGCAGUGAAUGGUAGCCCAG
RNAcentral lists this long non-coding RNA (777 nucleotides) under Dromaius novaehollandiae (emu). RNAcentral describes it as "lncRNA (ENSDNVG00000008767.1)". The record is from RNAcentral. Lineage: Eukaryota; Metazoa; Chordata; Aves; Casuariiformes; Dromaiidae.